RNAcentral lists this ribosomal RNA (569 nucleotides) under uncultured marine bacterium. RNAcentral describes it as "bacterial SSU rRNA". It matches the Rfam family "Bacterial small subunit ribosomal RNA", at positions 927 to 1498 of the family's 1533-position model. The record is from RNAcentral.
AAGCGGUGGAGCAUGUGGUUUAAUUCGAUGCAACGCGAAAACCUUACCUACACUUGACAUACUUGGAAUCUUUUGUAAUGAAAGAGUGCCUUUUGGAGCCAAGAUACAGGUGCUGCAUGGCCGUCGUCAGCUCGUGUCGUGAGAUGUUGGGUUAAGUCCCAUAACGAGCGCAACCCUUACCCUUAUUUGCCAGCGAUUCGGUCGGGAACUAUAAGGGGACUGCCGGUGAUAAACCGGAGGAAGGUGAGGACGACGUCAAGUCAUCAUGGCCCUUACGUGUAGGGCUACACACGUGCUACAAUGGGGAGUACAGAUAGACGCUAAAGCGCGAGCUGGUGCUAAUCUCAUAAAACUCUUCGUAGUCCGGAUUGCAGUCUGCAACUCGACUGCAUGAAGUCGGAAUCGCUAGUAAUCGCGAAUCAGCAUGUCGCGGUGAAUACGUUCUCGGGUCUUGUACACACCGCCCGUCACACCAUGGGAGUGUAUUGCACCAGAAGUGGGUAGUCUAACCUUCGGGAGGGCGCUCACCACGGUGUGGUCCAUGACUGGGGUGAAGUCGUAACAAGGUA